RNAcentral lists this ribosomal RNA (253 nucleotides) under uncultured bacterium. RNAcentral describes it as "partial 16S ribosomal RNA". It matches the Rfam family "Bacterial small subunit ribosomal RNA", at positions 524 to 776 of the family's 1533-position model. The record is from RNAcentral.
UACGAAGGGGGCUAGCGUUGCUCGGAAUUACUGGGCGUAAAGGGCGCGUAGGCGGAUAGUUUAGUCAGAGGUGAAAGCCCAGGGCUCAACCUUGGAACUGCCUUUGAUACUGGCUAUCUUGGGUUCGGGAGAGGUGAGUGGAAUGCCGAGUGUAGAGGUGAAAUUCGUAGAUAUUCGGCGGAACACCAGUGGCGAAGGCGACUCACUGGCCCGAUACUGACGCUGAGGCGCGAAAGCGUGGGGAGCAAACAGG